CCUGAUGGCCCAGUCAGUAAAGAAUCUACCUGCAAAGUAGGAGAUCCAGGUUUGAGUCCUGGGUCAGGA
Molecule: transfer RNA, 69 nt
Filed under: Ovis aries (sheep)
Lineage: Eukaryota; Metazoa; Chordata; Mammalia; Artiodactyla; Bovidae
Rfam family: tRNA
About the family: Transfer RNA (tRNA) molecules are approximately 80 nucleotides in length. Their secondary structure includes four short double-helical elements and three loops (D, anti-codon, and T loops).
Source: Rfam by way of RNAcentral